Molecule: unclassified non-coding RNA, 305 nt
Filed under: plant metagenome
Description: partial contains 5.8S ribosomal RNA, internal transcribed spacer 2, and large subunit ribosomal RNA
Rfam family: 5.8S ribosomal RNA (bases 1-105)
Source: RNAcentral
GAAAUGCGAUAAGUAAUGUGAAUUGCAGAAUUCAGUGAAUCAUCGAAUCUUUGAACGCACAUUGCGCCCCUUGGUAUUCCGAGGGGCAUGCCUGUUCGAGCGUCAUUACACCACUCAAGCUAUGCUUGGUAUUGGGUGCCGUCCUUAGUUGGGCGCGCCUUAAAGACCUCGGCGAGGCCUCACCGGCUUUAGGCGUAGUAGAAUUUAUUCGAACGUCUGUCAAAGGAGAGGACUUCUGCCGACUGAAACCUUUUAUUUUUCUAGGUUGACCUCGGAUCAGGCAGAGAUACGCGCUAAAGUUAAGC